AAUGUCGAAGUAAUCGCUGCAUAGAUUAUGAUCUAUUGUAGAGGAAAGUCCAUGCUCACACAUGUUGAGAUGCAUGUAGUGUUCGUGCUUAACGAAAUCAUAAGUUAAGGUAACUGUUUAGCAGUUAACGGCUGGUACCCUGCCUAAGUCUUAGGAUAUGGUAGGUUCACCUAUAAAAGUGCCACAGUGACGAAGUCAAAAUGGAAACAUUUUGAGUGGAACGAGGUAAACCCCACGAGUGAGCAACCCAAAUAUUGGUAGGGGCAUCUUCGAUUAGGGAAUUCAACCGAAAGAAGGACAAGUAUUACUACUUGUAGACAGAUGAUUACUCCUUGCGUACAAGGCUGACCACCGCUCGUAGUACUAAUAGGACAAAACAUGGCUUACUGAC
Molecule: RNase P RNA, 391 nt
Filed under: Saliterribacillus persicus
Lineage: Bacteria; Bacillati; Bacillota; Bacilli; Caryophanales; Bacillaceae
Description: Sediminibacillus sp. X4B(2010) Bacterial RNase P class B
Rfam family: Bacterial RNase P class B
About the family: Ribonuclease P (RNase P) is a ubiquitous endoribonuclease, found in archaea, bacteria and eukarya as well as chloroplasts and mitochondria. Its best characterised activity is the generation of mature 5'-ends of tRNAs by cleaving the 5'-leader elements of precursor-tRNAs.
Source: Rfam by way of RNAcentral